Molecule: ribosomal RNA, 772 nt
Filed under: uncultured bacterium
Lineage: Bacteria
Description: bacterial SSU rRNA
Rfam family: Bacterial small subunit ribosomal RNA
Source: RNAcentral
AGAGUUUGAUCAUGGCUCAGGACGAACGCUGGCGGCGUGCUUAACACAUGCAAGUCGAGCGGUAAGGCCCUUCGGGGUACACGAGCGGCGAACGGGUGAGUAACACGUGGGUGACCUGCCCCCUACUCUGGGAUAAGCCUGGGAAACUGGGUCUAAUACCGGAUAUGACUACAUGUCGCAUGGUGUGUGGUGGAAAGUUUUUUCGGUGGGGGAUGGGCCCGCGGCCUAUCAGCUUGUUGGUGGGGUGAUGGCCUACCAAGGCGACGACGGGUAGCCGGCCUGAGAGGGCGACCGGCCACACUGGGACUGAGACACGGCCCAGACUCCUACGGGAGGCAGCAGUGGGGAAUAUUGCGCAAUGGGCGGAAGCCUGACGCAGCGACGCCGCGUGGAGGAUGACGGCCUUCGGGUUGUAAACCUCUUUCGGCCCCGACGAAGCGUGAGUGACGGUAGGGGUAGAAGAAGCACCGGCCAACUACGUGCCAGCAGCCGCGGUAAUACGUAGGGUGCGAGCGUUGUCCGGAAUUAUUGGGCGUAAAGAGCUCGUAGGCGGUCUGUCGCGUCGGUCGUGAAAACUUGGGGCUUAACCCUGAGCUUGCGGUCGAUACGGGCAUGACUGGAGUUCGGCAGGGGAGACUGGAAUUCCUGGUGUAGCGGUGAAAUGCGCAGAUAUCAGGAGGAACACCGGUGGCGAAGGCGGGUCUCUGGGCCGAUACUGACGCUGAGGAGCGAAAGCGUGGGGAGCGAACAGGAUUAGAUACCCUAGUAGUCC